Molecule: long non-coding RNA, 102 nt
Organism: Rhopalosiphum padi (bird cherry-oat aphid)
Lineage: Eukaryota; Metazoa; Arthropoda; Insecta; Hemiptera; Aphididae
Exons: 2
Source: RefSeq, a predicted model, not a curated record
UCCUCCGUCGUAGCAAGACCCACCCCGGGCAGACUUGCGCGAUUAGGGAAGGCAUCUGCGUUCCGUUUCAAAUAAAUAGAAGGGGUACGCUAAAGAAAAAAA